This 490-nucleotide ribosomal RNA is filed under the name uncultured bacterium. Its description in RNAcentral is "partial 16S ribosomal RNA". It matches the Rfam family "Bacterial small subunit ribosomal RNA", at positions 28 to 507 of the family's 1533-position model. The record is from RNAcentral.
GAUGAACGCUAGCUACAGGCUUAACACAUGCAAGUCGAGGGGCAGCAUGGUCUUAGCUUGCUAAGGCCGAUGGCGACCGGCGCACGGGUGAGUAACACGUAUCCAACCUGCCGUCUACUCUUGGACAGCCUUCUGAAAGGAAGAUUAAUACAAGAUGGCAUCAUGAGUCCGCAUGUUCACAUGAUUAAAGGUAUUCCGGUAGACGAUGGGGAUGCGUUCCAUUAGUUAGUAGGCGGGGUAACGGCCCACCUAGUCUUCGAUGGAUAGGGGUUCUGAGAGGAAGGUCCCCCACAUUGGAACUGAGACACGGUCCAAACUCCUACGGGAGGCAGCAGUGAGGAAUAUUGGUCAAUGGGCGCAGGCCUGAACCAGCCAAGUAGCGUGAAGGAUGACUGCCCUAUGGGUUGUAAACUUCUUUUAUAAAGGAAUAAAGUCGGGUAUGUAUACCCGUUUGCAUGUACUUUAUGAAUAAGGAUCGGCUAACUCCGUG